AACAAGAAUGUGUCCUCAGUACACGAAUGCCCCACUCGCACUAUCAUUUUCCAUGUUCAGUGGACCGUGAAAUUGGGGUAAAAACUCUAGUUUGGCAUUAAAAUUAGAAAGAUCAUAUCAUAGGGGACAUGUGUACUAAGUUUGAAGUCGAUUGGACUUAAACUUCAUCAAAAACUACCUUGACCAAAAACUUUAACCUGAAGCGGGACAGACGGACGGACGAACGGACAGACGGAUGGACGAACGAACAGACGGACGGACGGACGGACGCACAGACCAGAAAACAUAAUGCCCCUCUACUAUCGUAGGUGGGGCA
This 316-nucleotide long non-coding RNA is filed under the name Mytilus galloprovincialis (Mediterranean mussel). The record is from RNAcentral. Lineage: Eukaryota; Metazoa; Mollusca; Bivalvia; Mytilida; Mytilidae.